Molecule: ribosomal RNA, 500 nt
Filed under: uncultured bacterium
Lineage: Bacteria
Description: partial 16S ribosomal RNA
Rfam family: Bacterial small subunit ribosomal RNA
Source: RNAcentral
AUUGAACACUGGCGGCAUGCUUUACACAUGCAAGUCGAACGGUAACAGGGUGCUUGCACCGCUGACGAGUGGCGAACGGGUGAGUAAUGCGUCGGAACGUGCCGAGUAGUGGGGGAUAACGCAGCGAAAGUUGUGCUAAUACCGCAUACGUACUGAGGUAGAAAGUGGGGGACCUUCGGGCCUCACGCUAUUCGAGCGGCCGACGUCUGAUUAGCUAGUAGGUGAGGUAAAGGCUCACCUAGGCGACGAUCAGUAGCGGGUCUGAGAGGAUGGACCGCCACACUGGGACUGGGACACGGCCCAGACUCCUACGGGAGGCAGCAGUGGGGAAUUUUGGACAAUGGGCGAAAGCCUGAUCCAGCCAUGCCGCGUGUCUGAAGAAGGCCUUCGGGUUGUAAAGGACUUUUGUCAGGGAGGAAAUCCCUAGUGCUAAUAACACUGGGGGAUGACAGUACCUGAAGAAUAAGCACCGGCUAACUACGUGCCAGCAGCCGCCGUAA